Long non-coding RNA from Melanotaenia boesemani (Boeseman's rainbowfish), 230 nucleotides. RefSeq lists it as uncharacterized. The transcript has 3 exons. The record is from RefSeq and is a predicted model, not a curated record. NCBI's taxonomy places the organism in Eukaryota, Metazoa, Chordata, Actinopteri, Atheriniformes, Melanotaeniidae.
UCCAGCAUCAUGGAUCAGUGUGAGGACAGAGAGGAGGGAGUCCCUCCCUCUAAAACCACUCAAAGGAACAAACCUGGACCUGAAACCAGCCCUGAAUCAGGACCUGAGCCCAGCUGUGUGUCCAUGAAGAGUGACCAGGAAGCUUUCAUCAUGUUUGACUCAGAGAAACAGGGAGUGGACCAGCAGAGCUCAGAGCUUCCCAGUGGUCAGUCUGCCCAGCAGCAUCAAAC